AUGUCAUGGAGUAAUCUAUUGUCCCGUCUGGAUUCGAUUAUCCUGACACAAGGUCGUAAUCUGUUUCGCUGGAACCUUACUACAUCGGGGACUUUCACAGUAGACUCUAUGUAUCGUGCACUCACGCAUUCUGAGGUACCGGUGAGUAAUAACAAAAAAAAUUGGAAAACGAAGGUACCACUUAAAGUCAAAAUAUUCAUGUGGUAUCUCCGUAGGGAAGUUGUGCUAACAAAAGACAAUCUCGCACGACGCAACUGGUCGGGAAGUAAGAAGUGUUGUUUUUAUACUCAUGACGAGACAAUUAAACACCUCUUUUUUUACUGUAAGUUUGCUUGUUUUACGUGGUCAGCCAUCCAAAUAGCGUCAAAUUUGUAUCCGCCAACAAGUGUUGCCAAUAUUUUUGGUCAUUGA
This 411-nucleotide ribosomal RNA is filed under the name Triticum aestivum (bread wheat). RNAcentral describes it as "partial small subunit ribosomal RNA". The record is from RNAcentral. Lineage: Eukaryota; Viridiplantae; Streptophyta; Magnoliopsida; Poales; Poaceae.